GCCCGGUUAGCUCAGAUGGUAGAGCAUCAGACUUUUAAUCUGAGGGUCAUGGGUUCGAGCCCCAUACCGGGCG
This 73-nucleotide transfer RNA is filed under the name Nematostella vectensis (starlet sea anemone). RNAcentral's name for it is "tRNA-Lys". It matches the Rfam family "tRNA". From Rfam's summary of the family: Transfer RNA (tRNA) molecules are approximately 80 nucleotides in length. The record is from Rfam by way of RNAcentral. Lineage: Eukaryota; Metazoa; Cnidaria; Anthozoa; Actiniaria; Edwardsiidae.